Long non-coding RNA from Lontra canadensis (Northern American river otter), 1280 nucleotides. RefSeq lists it as uncharacterized. NCBI's taxonomy places the organism in Eukaryota, Metazoa, Chordata, Mammalia, Carnivora, Mustelidae. The record is from RefSeq and is a predicted model, not a curated record. The transcript has 4 exons.
AUACUGCCACCGUUCACUGUGGAGUUCUGAAAUUCUACACGUGAGAGAAUCUGCAGUAUCUACGUGUGAGGAGGGGGAAGCCAAGACUUCCCCACCUGGGUGGAAGUUUCAAGAUUGGCCUCAAAGAAUUGAGGGUAGAAGGGGAUCAUUGGCAAAGUGAAUUCCCACAUCCCAGGGCAGUCAUGUAUUAUGAAGUCCAAACUAUUGGUUAAUCAUAGUGGAGAAGACAGUCUAAGGAUGGAAGUGAAUAGCUGGCACGAUACAGUGAUGCCUCUGUUCCUGCACCUGACCACUGCCCCUGGUGAAACUGCAAGGCCAUAACAUGCUGUGAUUGGCGGGAGUUGCAGAUACGUAUGUGAAAGUUAUAUAUACAUACGGCUCAUUGCUCAGCAUUCUCAAGGCGGACUUCAGGGUUCUGGAAUUUUGCCUGCGGAGUUCCUGCUCUUAGACCAAAUGUUACCAUUUCCUCACCUGUCUCGAAGCUCACGCAUCAGAGUGAGUCCCUCUUCUGCCACCAUGUUUGGAUCACCGCUGAAGUAAGUGAUAUGAUGUCUUAACAGCUCUCUCUUAGGAAAUUAUUGAGGAGAAGUGACAACAGAGUGCAAUGUGGCAUCCUGGAUCGGAUUCUGGACCAGAAAAAGGACAAGAUUGGGAAAACUGGCAAUAUUUUAAUGAGGUCUGUAGUUUUGUUAAUAAUAUUAUAUCAGUGUUGAUUUCCUGGUUUCGAUAACUCUCUAUGAAUGAUCAUGUAAAAUGUUAACAUUAGGAGAAACCUGUGAAGUACACACAGAAUCUUCUGUGUUAUUUUUUCAGCUUCUCCGUAAUUCUAGAAUUACUUCAAAAUUUAAUGUUUUUCAAAAAUCACUUUUGGUUUAAGAAAAAAAAUUAUAAACACACAAAUGAUUAGGGUAGUUUUUUUAUUGAAUUACAGUUGACAAACAAGAUUAGAGUGGUUUCUAAUUAUGUUUUUAUUCAAGAGGGUAUGGAGCACUCCCUGUUGAGAAAUAUGAUGGCAUUAGCCCCUCCCUAGAAAUCCUUUCAUUUUCUCCUUGUAAACUUGCAAAUUUUUGUUAAUUAUUUUUCUGUUGUCAAGAUUUUAGAACAUUGACUUCCUCAUUACUGGAGCUGUUUCAUCUUGAUUAUGUAUUUAAAUAAUUCUGUGCUCACCACUGUCUGUUUCCUGAAUUCUUUACUUUGGUUUAUCUCUUUAUUGGCUGGAUUUCAUAAAUGAAUACUUCAAAGGAAAAAAAAAAACCACUGUCUCUUUGACUCUUAAUAUA